Ciona savignyi (Pacific transparent sea squirt) is the source of this 72-nucleotide non-coding RNA. The record is from Rfam. Lineage: Eukaryota; Metazoa; Chordata; Ascidiacea; Phlebobranchia; Cionidae.
GCCUCUAUAGCUCAGUGGUAGAGCACUGGUCUCGUAAACCAGGGGUCGUGUGUUCAAUCCUCACUAGAGGCA